RNAcentral lists this long non-coding RNA (2143 nucleotides) under Mus musculus (house mouse). Its description in RNAcentral is "long non-coding RNA chr16:23332606-23334749". The record is from RNAcentral. Lineage: Eukaryota; Metazoa; Chordata; Mammalia; Rodentia; Muridae.
AGAAGACUCACUGGUUAGCAGUGUGCACUGGUCCAGUAGAGGACCCGAGUUGGGUCCCCAGCAUCUAUGCCAAGUGGCUCACAAGGGUCAUCUUAGAAGACGCUGAGCUCUGAGGGCUCUAGUGCUCAUGCACACACACCUCUAGAUGCAAUUUAAAAUGAUAAUAAAUCUUAAGAACAAGAAAAUAUUUACUUUGGCUCCCAGUUACAUGAGAGCCUGUGCUGAGACAGCACGCCAUUGCUCACUUUGUGUACGGGACUAGAGAAAGGGGAAGUCCAAGUGCUCUCUUCCAAGACUCGUUCCUAACAAACAAAGGCAUCUCACUGGGCUAUCCCACCCUUCAAUGUUAGUCAUAGGCAGGGAGGAGAUUCUGGCAAUGGAACACUCAUCAGAAGCAUCUUGUUAACUGACCCAGCCGAAGAGAAAGGGAACUGGACUGGUUCGCAUCAGCUUCCAGCAAGCCCAGGCCUUGAAGUCAUUUGGAACAGUUUGUCCACAGCUGAUUUCUAGGUGGUAUCUGUCAGCAAGGUGGAAAUCUGCUAAAUCAGAUAUAGACUAGGGAUAGAAGUUAAAGUCAAGAAACUUAAAGGAAAAAAAUAUUACAUUUGUAGCUUUCAGGACCCUAGUCCUGGUGGUUAGGGGAGGAAUCCCAAAGUGGGGGGGAGUUGAGUUGGGGAGGGAGUGAUAUAGGCACAGACAACUAGGGUGUACUUAUCUAGAGUCUGUUUGAUCUGUGAGAGGUAGAUCCAAAACGGAACGACUUCCACAACUCCCUGAAGUAUUUUUGAUUUUUUUUUUUAGUUUAAAAAAAGAGAUAAAAAUUUUAGAUUUGAUAGCGUUAUCAUUGUUCACAAUCCGCACUGAAAUCCACAUUGUAGAAAAAGCAGCUAAUUCUGUAAACAGAGUAGAAGCAUGCUUAUGAGCUAGCAGAAGCGAUGGGUUUGCCUUAAAAAGUAUGGACAUUUGCUUCUCUGUCCAGAGGGCUGGGUACCCAGAUUGAGCCGAGAUGGUUUUAGCCCGGUCAGAAGCAGACAACCAAAGGAAACGUCAGAUCUUGAGCUUGUGACUAGUAAUGGUAAUCCGUGCUUUACCAGUUUAUCAGAAUUCCGUUAAUCGAUGUUAGAACUCUGAACUUCUGAGAUCUUAGUAUAACAACAACAUCAUAGAAGGGGACGGAAAUUUGAAACAUUUUGUAUUCUCUCAUUUUUUUCAUAUAUCUUAAAUAACUUCCUAAGGCCUUCAGAACUUACACAAUAUUUUACAUCCACAGAAGUUGCUUUCUUAGACCCCUGUAACUUACAUAGACUUCACAUCCCUUUCUUUCCGAUAUAAAUCAUUUGACAGAGACAUAAGUAGUUAUUACUGAGAGCUGUGACUGCAGAUGGUAAAGGGGGGAAGGGGAUGUUGAUAUCAUUAGACUACUUCCUGCUGAUUGGGGCACCAAGUUCCUUGGGGCAUGUCUAAUCUUCAUUGUCAGGAUAUCUCCAACCAGCCAAUAGCAGCAGCAAGGGCAGCAGCUGCUGCCACCUCUCUUGGGGCUGAAUAUCCGAAUUGGUAUUCUUUUAGUAUCAGAAUAAAACUUUGAGUCAUAAAUACAGUUCACAGGGACACUGGGAACUUACUUCCCCAGGCCUUCCAUGGCGCACCAUUACAGAUUGUCACAGUUCCUUAGGUGACUCUUAUCUAAAUAGCUAACGAUUAACAAAGUUGGCACAGACUAAGAGACUAGGCGUCCAUUCUUUGGUCAGUCUCUGUCAGCCUGGAUAGUCCCUGGUUAGGAAGACAUUCCAUGGUCUCUUUGCCAGACUGCUUAGGUCACUGACUUACUGCAUCCCAUGAUAGGAAUAUUCUAGGUUCCUCUGUUUGGUGCUGAUAGCUGCAGCUCUAAUUCGUUAGCCAUUCAUUCAUUCAUUACUUAUUUAUUUGAAGAUUACAUAUUAAUAAACUGGGCCGUGGUGGAGGACAUUUUUAAUCCCAGUACUUGGAGGGCAGAAGCAGGCAGAUCUGUGUGAAUCUGAGUCCAGCCUGGUCUACAAAGCGAGUUCCAGGUCAGCCAGGGCUGUUACACAAAGAAACCCUGUCUUAAAAAAACCAACCAAACAACCAAACAAACAAAACAAAAUGAAAACAAACAAACAAAACC